This 495-nucleotide ribosomal RNA is filed under the name uncultured bacterium. Its description in RNAcentral is "partial 16S ribosomal RNA". It matches the Rfam family "Bacterial small subunit ribosomal RNA", at positions 28 to 505 of the family's 1533-position model. The record is from RNAcentral.
GAUGAACGCUGGCGGCGUGCCUAAUACAUGCAAGUCGAGCGAACAGACGAGGAGCUUGCUCCUCUGACGUUAGCGGCGGACGGGUGAGUAACACGUGGAUAACCUACCUAUAAGACUGGGAUAACUUCGGGAAACCGGAGCUAAUACCGGAUAAUAUAUUGAACCGCAUGGUUCAAUAGUGAAAGACGGUUUUGCUGUCACUUAUAGAUGGAUCCGCGCCGCAUUAGCUAGUUGGUAAGGUAACGGCUUACCAAGGCAACGAUGCGUAGCCGACCUGAGAGGGUGAUCGGCCACACUGGAACUGAGACACGGUCCAGACUCCUACGGGAGGCAGCAGUAGGGAAUCUUCCGCAAUGGGCGAAAGCCUGACGGAGCAACGCCGCGUGAGUGAUGAAGGUCUUCGGAUCGUAAAACUCUGUUAUUAGGGAAGAACAAAUGUGUAAGUAACUAUGCACGUCGUGACGGUACCUAAUCAGAAAGCCACGGCUAACGACG